GCGUCUGUAGCUCAAUGGAUAGAGCACCUGGCUUCGGACCAGGGGGUUGCGGGUUCGACU
Molecule: transfer RNA, 60 nt
Filed under: Candidatus Levybacteria bacterium RIFCSPLOWO2_01_FULL_39_10
Lineage: Bacteria; Candidatus Levyibacteriota
Description: tRNA-Arg
Rfam family: tRNA
About the family: Transfer RNA (tRNA) molecules are approximately 80 nucleotides in length. Their secondary structure includes four short double-helical elements and three loops (D, anti-codon, and T loops). Further hydrogen bonds mediate the characteristic L-shaped molecular structure. tRNAs have two regions of fundamental functional importance: the anti-codon, which is responsible for specific mRNA codon recognition, and the 3' end, to which the tRNAs corresponding amino acid is attached (by aminoacyl-tRNA synthetases). tRNAs cope with the degeneracy of the genetic code in two manners: having more than one tRNA (with a specific anti-codon) for a particular amino acid; and 'wobble' base-pairing, i.e. permitting non-standard base-pairing at the 3rd anti-codon position.
Source: RNAcentral